GGGGAAUAUUGCGCAAUGGGGGAAACCCUGACGCAGCAACGCCGCGUGGGUGAUGAAGGUCUUCGGAUUGUAAAGCCCUGUCUUUUGGGACGAUAAUGACGGUACCAAAGGAGGAAGCCACGGCUAACUACGUGCCAGCAGCCGCGGUAAUACGUAGGUGGCAAGCGUUGUCCGGAUUUACUGGGCGUAAAGGGUGCGUAGGUGGAUAUUUAAGUCAGAUGUGAAAUCCCCGGGCUUAACCUGGGAAGUGCAUUUGAAACUGGAUAUCUUGAGUGCAGGAGAGGUAAGUGGAAUUCCUAGUGUAGCGGUGAAAUGCGUAGAUAUUAGGAAGAACACCAGUGGCGAAGGCGACUUACUGGACUGUAACUGACACUGAGGCACGAAAGCGUGGGUAGCAAACAGGAUUAGAUACCCUGGUAGUCCACGCUGUAAACGAUGAGUACUAGGUGUAGGGGGUAUCGAUCCCUUCUGUGCCGCAGUUAACACAAUAAGUACUCCGCCUGGGAAGUACGAUCGCAAGAUUAAAACUC
Molecule: ribosomal RNA, 530 nt
Filed under: uncultured bacterium
Lineage: Bacteria
Description: bacterial SSU rRNA
Rfam family: Bacterial small subunit ribosomal RNA
Source: RNAcentral